This 508-nucleotide long non-coding RNA is filed under the name Vigna radiata. Its description in RNAcentral is "long non-coding RNA (VRAD_LNC002911)". The record is from RNAcentral. Lineage: Eukaryota; Viridiplantae; Streptophyta; Magnoliopsida; Fabales; Fabaceae.
GAAAAAGCAAAGAACCACCUCAAGACUCAAGCUUAUGCUCUCAACUUUCAAGAAGAAAUGAAAGGAAAAUGGGUGAGGGAUUCACUUCCACCAAGCAAAGAUAAACAAGAUUUAAGUAAGAGAAGAAGAAAAAUAUGAUCUUUGUCAUUCCAUAGCUCCCAAAAACGUAAAACCCUACAUGGUCUCCAAGAGAGAGUUCAUACAUGCAAAGUGAAAUGAAAAGUGGAGACAAGAAGUGUGUGUCUCGGUCUUGCCAUUCUAAAAUGCCUUCCAAGACUUAAAAUGGUGGGUUCCACCUCUAAGGAAACCCUAGGGUCUAUGCAAAGUGUCCCACACAUUGGGCUUCUACAAUUUUGCCACCAAAAAGGGCCCAAAUGCACUUAAGUUUGAUUAAAGUUUCUAAAAACGAAAUUACAACUUAAUUAAAAGGGAAGUGACUAAAUGUUAAGUCUUGAAUGAUCACGCCAUCUUCCCUAAUGCUCCAAAUGAUGUUUCCAAAAUUUCCCUG